Hermetia illucens (black soldier fly) is the source of this 642-nucleotide long non-coding RNA. RefSeq lists it as uncharacterized. The transcript is spliced from 2 exons. Lineage: Eukaryota; Metazoa; Arthropoda; Insecta; Diptera; Stratiomyidae. The record is from RefSeq and is a predicted model, not a curated record.
CUUCUACAAAAAUGAUCGAUGCAAAACAGAUCGCUUCGAUAAAAUGAGAAAUUGCAUGAAAAAGCUUAUACCGUUGUCCGUUACCGAAAAAAAUACUUGUAUCUAAUCUAAUCGCAAUGAGGUCAUGUUUUAAUAUUUAAGAUUGUCAAUUCUUGUCGAACAGAUUUUAACUGUGCUUUAGUUUUAAGCCACUGUUUCUCCGCGAAAAAUUCCUAUGUUGCUUGGUAUUGAAUUCUUGUAGCAGUUUCGUAACUUUUAUUCACCAACAACCAACUAACUAGUUUGAAAAUUUAUGCAAAAUUAUUCCGAAGGAGAGAAAAAAAAUAUCUCAAAAUACAUUCGAUUCAAGACUAUACAGUUAGAGGAAUGCAAAAACUGAUCUUUUAGGUUGUGCGAAACAAGACUACAAUGAUGAUGCUGACUUUGGGAAUGGUGAUGAUGAUGUACCCAGCACAUGUUAUGUAUAUAUGAAUUGAUAACGAAAUUAUCUACUAUCUACGCGAAAAGGAAAGCAGGCUCUAUAUCUGAAAGUAAAGCAACGGGAAGGCGACAUGAUGGCAAAAUAUCUCUUUAGAUGUUAGCUUAUAAGAUAAUUAUUAUUUUUCUAUAAAUAAAUGUGGUAUAACUUCAUAUCGUUUCUAU